This 443-nucleotide ribosomal RNA is filed under the name uncultured bacterium. RNAcentral's name for it is "bacterial SSU rRNA". It matches the Rfam family "Bacterial small subunit ribosomal RNA", at positions 53 to 512 of the family's 1533-position model. The record is from RNAcentral.
ACCAUGCAGUCGACGGAAGGCCCUGCUUGCAGGGUACUCGAGUGGCGAACGGGUGAGUAACACGUGGGUGAUCUGCCCUGCACUUCGGGAUAAGCCUGGGAAACUGGGUCUAAUACCGGAUAGGAGCCAUUUUUAGUGUGAUGGUUGGAAAGUUUUUUCGGUGUAGGAUGAGCUCGCGGCCUAUCAGCUUGUUGGUGGGGUAAUGGCCUACCAAGGCGGCGACGGGUAGCCGGCCUGAGAGGGUGGACGGCCACAUUGGGACUGAGAUACGGCCCACACUCCUACGGGAGGCAGCAGUGGGGAAUAUUGCACAAUGGGCGCAAGCCUGAUGCAGCGACCCCGCGUGGGGGAUGACGGCCUUCGGGUUGUAAACUCCUUUCGCUAGGGACGAAGCUUUUUGUGACGGUACCUAGAUAAAAAGCACCGGCAAACUACGUGCCAGC